AAUUACGUUAAUCUAUAUCAAAAUGAUUUUUUCGAAAUUUUAGAAGAUCACUUUUUAUUUUUUCUUAAAUAUCUUAAGUCGUAGAAAUCUGGUGAUAUUUGUACCGAUAUAUUCUUUUUUCUUACUGUCUGGCGUAUCGAUUGAAAAAAAAAUACUUCAAAAUAGCUUCAUUAGAUACAGAAGUAUAAACAAAAGAAGACUCUGAAUUACUUUAAGCAAUGAGUGUUAAAAUAGGGUGGCCAAAAAUGAGUGGUAACUGUGGGUUAAAACACAGAAAACGUCACCGCGCCGGAAAAAAAUCGCGUUAUUAACGUGUCGACGUCGGAAAAGUCGCUUUGUACCUCAGAAGACGAAAACGUGCAGGAGAGAAUUUCAACGACAAGCGUAAACAAAAAAAGAGAGAUGUUGAAAGACGAGAGGAGAAACGUGCCGUGCGAGGCGCCAUACGAUCUUGCGAAGAAACUGUAUUGGCCGGAAUUCAGAAACUGGCCAAUUUUGAACCUGGUAAAGCACGAAUUUAUCAUGAAAAUUCGUAUGGUUAUGGUAUACGGUGAUCGUGGUAACAGAACACUAAUUGUGAAAAAGGACAAGAAUGUGCACGCUUUAGAUUUUAAUGGAAAGUAUUAUAAAUAUUUCAAUUUUGGUGAUACACAUAUUAGUUUCUAUCCAAAAAUAAUAUUAUAUCGAUUUCAAUUCUUAUUUAUAACGA
Molecule: non-coding RNA, 709 nt
Organism: Nylanderia fulva
Lineage: Eukaryota; Metazoa; Arthropoda; Insecta; Hymenoptera; Formicidae
Source: RefSeq, a predicted model, not a curated record